GGGGGGACGCAGUAGGAUAGGCGAAGCGUGCUGUUGGAGUGCACGUCCAAGCAGUAAGGCUGAGUGUUAGGCAAAUCCGGCACUCGUAAGGCUGAGCUGUGAUGGGGAGAGGAAAUUGUUUCCUCGAGUCGUUGAUUUCACACUGCCGAGAAAAGCCUCUAGAUAGAUAACAGGUGCCCGUACCGCAAACCGACACAGGUAGUCAAGAUGAGAAUUCUAAGGUGAGCGAGCGAACUCUCGUUAAGGAACUCGGCAAAAUGACCCCGUAACUUCGGGAGAAGGGGUGCUCUUUAGGGUUCACGCCCAGAAGAGCCGCAGUGAAUAGGCCCAAGCGACUGUUUAUCAAAAACACAGGUCUCUGCUAAACCGUAAGGUGAUGUAUAGGGGCUGACGCCUGCCCGGUGCUGGAAGGUUAAGAGGAGUGGUUAGCUUCUGCGAAGCUACGAAUCGAAGCCCCAGUAAACGGCGGCCGUAACUAUAACGGUCCUAAGGUAGCGAAAUUCCUUGUCGGGUAAGUUCCGACCCGCACGAAAGGCGUAACGAUUUGGGCACUGUCUCAACGAGAGACUCGGUGAAAUCAUAGUACCUGUGAAGAUGCAGGUUACCCGCGACAGGACGGAAAGACCCCGU
This 630-nucleotide ribosomal RNA is filed under the name Staphylococcus sp. HMSC62A08. RNAcentral describes it as "bacterial LSU rRNA". It matches the Rfam family "Bacterial large subunit ribosomal RNA", at positions 1466 to 2094 of the family's 2925-position model. Lineage: Bacteria; Bacillati; Bacillota; Bacilli; Caryophanales; Staphylococcaceae. The record is from RNAcentral.